Long non-coding RNA from Populus euphratica (Euphrates poplar), 2004 nucleotides. RefSeq lists it as uncharacterized. NCBI's taxonomy places the organism in Eukaryota, Viridiplantae, Streptophyta, Magnoliopsida, Malpighiales, Salicaceae. The transcript is spliced from 3 exons. The record is from RefSeq and is a predicted model, not a curated record.
AAAAACAAAAAAAGAAAAUGUGACUCUACACUUGGUAAGGUGUAAAGAGAAGCUCAGCAUCAAAAUAAAGAAGUUAUCUUUCCCAAUGAAAGGUAUUGUAAGCAAAGUCCUUUUGCCAUAUCUUUAUAAACCCCUACUAAACUAGCUACAAAAAUCAGAACAAAACAACUUUAUAAGUGCAUGGUGGUUGAACUUUCCAUAGUGUCCUACAUGCAUUGCAUGAGGAUGAGUAAUUUUAAUAUCAUGUAAUAAAUCAAUGUAGCGACACAAGGAAUGGAUUGAAGGGCAUGAGGUAAUCAUUGAGUGCACAAAGGCCUAGUGGCAAUGAAAUGUAAGAGAGAACAUAGUAAAACCAUUUUAGGACUUCCCCUAACAAUUUUAGUUUUUUUUAUUAAGUGGUUCAUUCACAUAAAAAAUAAGGAUGUGGGAGUUUGGUGGUGUUGAAUAUGUGAGCAGGGGGGAAAUGGUAAAUGAGAAUAAAGGACUUCUACAAUUGAUAUCAAUUGUUAUUUUCAUAUUAUUGUUCAAGUUUCCUAAUAGAUUAUCAUGAGAAUUUUAUCAUUACCUAUUUGAAGGAGAUAUUAAGAUAUUAUUUAUAUUAUUUGAAUUCCAUUUAGAAGGUUUCCCUAUGGUUUAGUCCAUUCUUGUUAGGUUACGGUUUAUUUCAUUAGCUUUGCAGCAUAUAUAAAGCACCUUAGUUAUUUACAUCCAAAAGGAGGUUAUUAGUAUUGAUUAAUUAAAAUAAAUUGAGCCUUCAUAGCUUGGUUUUGUAAGUUCAUUGUAUUUAUUUCAUUCUUCACUUGGUUCUACUCCAAGGGUCUACAUCAAGGAGUUGCUAGUAUGAAGAAGAAGAAAGCAUAUGGAAAUGCAAGAAGUUGAAUAUGAAACAAUGUUGAAACAAAGAUGAUUGUAGGUUACAAGACUCCAAAACAGCAUGCCAAAGUUUGGUGAUAGAUGGGAAGCAACCUAAAAAACUUUUCAACAAAUUUUAUUCAUGAUGUGUCGUAUGAAUGCCAUGUAGUAGAAUUGCUCAUGUGGAAUAGGAAACGGGGAAAUGAACAAGUUUAACUCAUCAUGUCCAAGGAUUUAUACUCUGUUUGGAAAUUUUCAAAGGGAUUGAUUGAGUGGAAUAAAAUUAAAGUCCUAACGACAAAAGAAGCAAAGUUGAUGUCUUUUUGUAGACAAAGGUAUUUCUAAAAAAUUGUCUGAAUCUAGGCUUUAUUUUCUGUUUAGUAUUUUAUUUUAUAACUCUUAAGUUAUUAGGUUUUCAUAUUCUAAAUGGUACGAGUUAGAAGAAAGUUAAAGACUCUAAGCACAUAUUGGAUUUGAACUAAAACUCUCUAAAUAAGCAUAUAGUCUUUCAAUAUUUUCAUCGCAGUUUAUGAACAAAAUUCUACCAAUUUGCUUUUGAUUGAUUGACUCAAUCUCCCAUAGGUGUGACUACUAAAAAACGUAGGUGUGAAGCUUAUGUUUUAUAUCCUCUAGGUGUGACUCCUAGAAACCCAAUUAGUGUGGCUCUUAUAGUUUCUACAAUUUUCAACAAUUCAAAUCCUAUAUUCAAACCUCUAUUGAAUUCCCAAACAUCCACACAUUCAAGCCCCAUCAAUUCUACACUUAAUAGCACUGACCAUCUAAAGAUCAACUCAAACCCUAAAAUUACUAUUCACACCACUAUUUAUAGCCUUAACAACCUCUGAAAGUCAGAUCUAGAACAAUCUCCAAAGUUGAUGUAGAACAAUUAUUUCUAGAGUUUACGGACCAAAUUGACAAGGUUAAACCUGAAAAGAAGUCUGUAAAAACCCUGGAAGCAUCUCAUAUGAAGCCCAAAGUUAUAGUUUUCCUAUUUGAACUAUAUUCCUAGUUAAUUUUGAAUUUUAAUUAUUUGUUUCUUUUUUAUCUUAGUUCUUUUAAUUUAGUUAGUAUUUUACUAUUUAGAAAUUCUAAUGCUAAAUGGGUUCUAUUAAUUAGGUAAAUUUUAAUUAGAAAUAGUUAUCUAUAAUGGAA